RNAcentral lists this unclassified non-coding RNA (285 nucleotides) under uncultured fungus. Its description in RNAcentral is "partial contains 5.8S ribosomal RNA, internal transcribed spacer 2, and large subunit ribosomal RNA". The stretch from base 1 to 52 matches the Rfam family "5.8S ribosomal RNA", at positions 103 to 154 of the family's 154-position model. The record is from RNAcentral. Lineage: Eukaryota; Fungi.
AACGCAUCUUGCGCUCCAUGGUAUUCCGUGGAGCAUGCCUGUUCGAGUGUCACGUCAACCCUCACCCUCGUGAUGUCAAAGUCACCCGCGGUGGACUUGGACCGUGCCGUAGUCGGCUCGUCCUGAAAUACAUUAGCUUGUGCUUUUAGAGCGCUCGGCACCGGUGUGAUAAUUAUCUGCGCCAACGCCUUAGGCCUCUUCAGCGGCGCUGCUUACAGUCGUCCCGACGGACAAUUAUUUUAAAGCUUUGGCCUCGAAUCAGGUAGGACUACCCGCUGAACUUAA